Molecule: ribosomal RNA, 368 nt
Filed under: uncultured organism
Description: bacterial SSU rRNA
Rfam family: Bacterial small subunit ribosomal RNA
Source: RNAcentral
CGUAGGUGGCAAGCGUUGUCCGGAUUUAUUGGGUUUAAAGGGUGCGUAGGCGGCCUUGUAAGUCAGUGCUGAAAUAUCCCGGCUUAACCGGGAGGGUGGCAUUGAUACUGCAGGGCUUGAGUAAAGUUGAGGUUGGCGGAAUUGACGGUGUAGCGGUGAAAUGCUUAGAUAUCGUCAAGAACACCUAUUGCGUAGGCAGCUAACUAAGCUUUAACUGACGCUGAGGCACGAAAGUGUGGGGAUCAAACAGGAUUAGAUACCCUGGUAGUCCACACUGUAAACGUUGAUGACUCGAUGUUGGCGAUACACAGUCAGCGUCUUAGAGAAAUCGUUAAGUCAUCCACCUGGGGAGUACGCCGGCAACGGUG